GCCAGGCAUGGUGGUGUGUACCUGUGGUCCCAGCUACUCAGGAGGCUGAGGUGGGAGGAUCGCUUGAGCUCAGGACUUCAAGGCUGUGGUGAGCUAUGAUUGCACCACUUCACUCCAGCCUGGGCAACAGAGUGAGACCCCAUCUCAA
This 148-nucleotide small RNA is filed under the name Macaca fascicularis (crab-eating macaque). RNAcentral's name for it is "Metazoan signal recognition particle RNA (ENSMFAG00000064688.1)". Lineage: Eukaryota; Metazoa; Chordata; Mammalia; Primates; Cercopithecidae. The record is from Rfam by way of RNAcentral.